This 432-nucleotide ribosomal RNA is filed under the name uncultured bacterium. Its description in RNAcentral is "partial 16S ribosomal RNA". It matches the Rfam family "Bacterial small subunit ribosomal RNA", at positions 29 to 506 of the family's 1533-position model. The record is from RNAcentral.
AACGAACGCUGGCGGCAUGCCUAACACAUGCAAGUCGAACGAGACCUUCGGGUCUAGUGGCGCACGGGUGCGUAACGCGUGGGAACCUGCCCUUAGGUUCGGAAUAACUCCCCGAAAGGGGUGCUAAUACCGGAUAAUGUCUUCGGACCAAAGAUUUAUCGCCUUUGGAUGGGCCCGCGUUGGAUUAGCUAGUUGGUAGGGUAAAAGCCUACCAAGGCGACGAUCCAUAGCUGGUCUGAGAGGAUGAUCAGCCACACUGGGACUGGGACCCGGCCCAGACUCCUACGGGAGGGCGCAGUGGGGAAUCUUGGACACUGGGCGAAAGCCUGAUCCCGCCAUGCCGCGUGAGUGAUGAAGGCCUUAGGGUUGUAAAGCUCUUUUACCCGGGAUGAUAAUGCCAGUCCCGGGAGAAUAAGCUCCGGCUACCUCCGU